GAGCCAGUGCAGUGUAGUGGUUUGAACACUGGACUAAGACUCUGGAGGCCAGGGUUCAAAUCUCUGCUUGACCA
Molecule: transfer RNA, 74 nt
Filed under: Phrynosoma platyrhinos (Desert horned lizard)
Lineage: Eukaryota; Metazoa; Chordata; Lepidosauria; Squamata; Phrynosomatidae
Description: tRNA-OTHER
Source: RNAcentral